Molecule: ribosomal RNA, 253 nt
Filed under: uncultured bacterium
Lineage: Bacteria
Description: partial 16S ribosomal RNA
Rfam family: Bacterial small subunit ribosomal RNA
Source: RNAcentral
UACGUAGGGUGCGAGCGUUGUCCGGAAUUACUGGGCGUAAAGAGCUCGUAGGUGGUUUGUCGCGUUGUUCGUGAAAACUCACAGCUUAACUGUGGGCGUGCGGGCGAUACGGGCAGACUGGAGUACUGCAGGGGAGACUGGAAUUCCUGGUGUAGCGGUGGAAUGCGCAGAUAUCAGGAGGAACACCGGUGGCGAAGGCGGGUCUCUGGACAGUUCCUGACGCUGAGGCGCGAAGGCCAGGGGAGCAAACGGG